UGGGGAAUCUUGCGCAAUGCGCGAAAGCGUGACGCAGCAACGCCGCGUGAGGGAAGAAGGCCUUAGGGUUGUAAACCUCUUUCAGGAGGGACGAAGGUCGGCACGUUAAUAGCGUGUCCGAUUGACGGUACCUCCACAAGAAGCCCCGGCUAACUACGUGCCAGCAGCCGCGGUAAUACGUAGGGGGCAAGCGUUGUCCGGAAUUAUUGGGCGUAAAGAGCGUGUAGGCGGUCCGGUAAGUCAGCUGUGAAAGUCAAGGGCUCAACCCUUGAAAGCCGGUUGAUACUGUCGGGCUAGAGUCCGGAAGAGGCGAGUGGAAUUCCCGGUGUAGCGGUGAAAUGCGCAGAUAUCGGGAGGAACACCAAUGGCGAAGGCAGCUCGCAGGGACGGUACUGACGCUGAGACGCGAAAGCGUGGGGAGCAAACAGGAUUAGAUACCCUGGUAGUCCACGCCGUAAACGAUGGGCACUAGGUGUUGGGGGUGUCGACUCCCCCGGCGCCGUAGCUAACGCAUU
This 515-nucleotide ribosomal RNA is filed under the name uncultured Actinomycetes bacterium. RNAcentral's name for it is "bacterial SSU rRNA". It matches the Rfam family "Bacterial small subunit ribosomal RNA", at positions 355 to 861 of the family's 1533-position model. Lineage: Bacteria; Bacillati; Actinomycetota; Actinomycetes. The record is from RNAcentral.